GAGAAAGUCAUAGAGGUUUUCAAUUGGCUUGAAACCAGUUUCUGGAGGUUCAAUUCCUUUCUUUUUCA
This 68-nucleotide transfer RNA is filed under the name Pongo abelii (Sumatran orangutan). It matches the Rfam family "tRNA". Rfam says of the family: Transfer RNA (tRNA) molecules are approximately 80 nucleotides in length. The record is from Rfam by way of RNAcentral. Lineage: Eukaryota; Metazoa; Chordata; Mammalia; Primates; Hominidae.